Molecule: ribosomal RNA, 256 nt
Filed under: uncultured bacterium
Lineage: Bacteria
Description: partial 16S ribosomal RNA
Rfam family: Bacterial small subunit ribosomal RNA
Source: RNAcentral
UACGUAGGGCGCAAGCGUUAUCCGGAAUUAUUGGGCGUAAAGAGCUCGUAGGCGGUUUGUCGCGUCUGCCGUGAAAGUCCGGGGCUCAACUCCGGAUCUGCGGUGGGUACGGGCAGACUAGAGUGCAGUAGGGGAGACUGGAAUUCCUGGUGUAGCGGUGAAAUGACGCAGAGUAUCAGGAGGAACACCGAUGGCGAAGGCAGGUCUCUGGGCUGUAACUGACGCUGGAGGAGCGAAAGCAUGGGGAGCGAACAGG